Molecule: unclassified non-coding RNA, 263 nt
Filed under: plant metagenome
Description: partial contains small subunit ribosomal RNA, internal transcribed spacer 1, and 5.8S ribosomal RNA
Source: RNAcentral
UCUCCGUUGGUGAACCAGCGGAGGGAUCAUUACCGAGUUUACAACUCCCAAACCCAAUGUGAACGUUACCAAACUGUUGCCUCGGCGGGGUCUCUGCCCCGGGUGCGUCGCAGCCCCGGACCAAGGCGCCCGCCGGAGGACCAACCUAAAACGCUUAUUGUAUACCCCCUCGCGGGUUUUUUUAUAAUCUGAGCCUUCUCGGCGCCUCUCGUAGGCCUUUCGAAAAUGAAUCAAAACUUUCAACAACGGAUCUCUUGGUUCUG